ACCAGCACGUUAUGUGGGCACUCUAAGGAGACUGCCGGUGCAAACCGGAGGAAGUGGGGAUGACGUCAAGUCAUCAUGGCCCUUACGGCCUGGGCUACACACGUGCUACAAUGGUCGGUACAAAGGGUUGCCAAGCCGCGAGGUGGAGCUAAUCCCAUAAAACCGAUCGUAGUCCGGAUCGCAGUCUGCAACUCGACUGCGUGAAGUCGGAAUCGCUAGUAAUCGUGAAUCAGAAUGUCACGGUGAAUACGUUCCCGGGCCUU
RNAcentral lists this ribosomal RNA (263 nucleotides) under uncultured Pseudomonas sp. RNAcentral describes it as "partial 16S ribosomal RNA". It matches the Rfam family "Bacterial small subunit ribosomal RNA", at positions 1117 to 1382 of the family's 1533-position model. Lineage: Bacteria; Pseudomonadati; Pseudomonadota; Gammaproteobacteria; Pseudomonadales; Pseudomonadaceae. The record is from RNAcentral.